UUCCCCUUUUUGCUCCCGCGACGUCGUUUCCUUUUCUUCCCCGAACUCCUCAUCUCCUCCAAACCGACGUCGCCAACGACUCUUCCUCUCCUCCCCCAUGUACAAAAGAAAUUGGCCAAGACAAGUCCGAGCCUCUUCCUUGCGUCGUCUCCUUCCCCUCGCUCCUAUGCCCUAGAGCUCGAGCCACUGUCAGCCGAGACUACCCUCUGCCCUAGCGUCGGCCACCUCUGCUCUCAGCCCCCUCCCAUCGUGUCGAUUAGCGAACACUGAGCAUCGACGCCGGCUGUUCGAGCCCUAGCAUCGAGUUUCUCCAGCGUCGGCAAUCGUCCAAUCUCCUCUGCCCUAGCGUGGAUCGCGCUGCCGCGAGCUUGCUUCUUCCUCCUCUUUGCCGAGUCGUGCCUUCCCCUCUUUGCCCUAGCCAUCUCCGAUACUUCCCUUCUACAGUGUCCUUCUCUUGACACCAUCCUUGUGCCCUAGCACCGGUCAGCUAGCUGUCAAGUGCUAGUAGCCACCUUGUUAUCGGCCUGAGUCUUUGGCAUUAGGGCUUCCAGCAGCAGCUUUGCCAGGUCCUUGGUCAUCGCAGGCAGUUAAAGGAAGAGUGAAUUGCAAGGCGUUACUUGGGUUUCUAGCAGCUACCUCUAUUCUGGCAGCAACUUGCUUUGUUUCAGCAUCAACAGCAACUGAAUUAAGGUUGAGGUUGUCCGGAGGAGUUCCAGACGCUAGUCCCCCACCACUGCGUGUCACGACGAGUUCGUACAUUUCAGUUUUCUUAUUAUGUGAGACCAUGUUUUUCAUACUUGUAGCUUUUGGCAUUUGUAUCUUAUACGUUUUGUUAUGUGUCGAUGGGUUUUUAUUUGAAUGUAUGCUGGAGUUUUGUGUUUUAUGGAUGUAGUUGAGUAGGAUAUCGGAUUUGUGUUUUAUGGGUGUAGUUGAGUAGGAUU
Zingiber officinale is the source of this 941-nucleotide long non-coding RNA. RefSeq lists it as uncharacterized. The transcript is spliced from 3 exons. Lineage: Eukaryota; Viridiplantae; Streptophyta; Magnoliopsida; Zingiberales; Zingiberaceae. The record is from RefSeq and is a predicted model, not a curated record.